Molecule: ribosomal RNA, 253 nt
Filed under: uncultured bacterium
Lineage: Bacteria
Description: partial 16S ribosomal RNA
Rfam family: Bacterial small subunit ribosomal RNA
Source: RNAcentral
UACGGAGGGUGCAAGCGUUAUCCGGAUUUACUGGGUUUAAAGGGUGUGUAGGCGGACUUUUAAGUCCGUGGUGAAAUCUCCGGGCUCAACCCGGAAACUGCCAUGGAUACUAUUGGUCUUGAAUAUUGUUGAGGUGGGCGGAACGGGUCAUGUAGCGGUGAAAUGCUUAGAUAUGACAUAGAACACCAAUUGCGAAGGCAGCUCGUUACACGAAUAUUGACUCUGAGGCACGAAAGCGUGGGGAUCAAACAGG